AGAACGAACGCUGGCGGCAUGCCUAAUACAUGCAAGUCGAACGAAGGCUUCGGCCUUAGUGGCGCACGGGUGCGUAACGCGUGGGAAUCUGCCCCUUGGUUCGGAAUAACAGUUGGAAACGACUGCUAAUACCGGAUGAUGACGAAAGUCCAAAGAUUUAUCGCCAAGGGAUGAGCCCGCGUAGGAUUAGCUAGUUGGUGAGGUAAAGGCUCACCAAGGCGACGAUCCUUAGCUGGUCUGAGAGGAUGAUCAGCCACACUGGGACUGAGACACGGCCCAGACUCCUACGGGAGGCAGCAGUAGGGAAUAUGGACAAUGGGCGAAAGCCUGAUCCAGCAAUGCCGCGUGAGUGAUGAAGCCGUUAGGUUGUAAAGCUCUUUUACCCGAGAUGAUAACGACAGUAUCGGAGAAGUAACGCCCCGGACUAACUCCGUGCCAGCAGCCGC
Molecule: ribosomal RNA, 446 nt
Filed under: uncultured soil bacterium
Lineage: Bacteria
Description: bacterial SSU rRNA
Rfam family: Bacterial small subunit ribosomal RNA
Source: RNAcentral